Molecule: ribosomal RNA, 3052 nt
Filed under: Chenopodium suecicum
Lineage: Eukaryota; Viridiplantae; Streptophyta; Magnoliopsida; Caryophyllales; Amaranthaceae
Description: eukaryotic LSU rRNA
Rfam family: Eukaryotic large subunit ribosomal RNA
Source: RNAcentral
AUCAUGUUCUUUAACACUGAGAGAAUAUAGUGCGAUCAAAUAUUACUAUGUACGGAGUGUCAUUGAAGGGCUGCCUUGAGUUUAGGGGAAUAGUAAGUUACGUUGAAAUCACCAGUCGUAGUGCCGAAUGCUAUAAAAACCAUUUGGAGCUUUGGAUUAUCGUUUUGGGGUUUGUUCUGUUUCGUCAUUGUCUAUUUGAAAUUGUGUAUUAUAACCUUUAAUUUUAGAUAAUUUUCAAAAACUUUGAACUUGGAAAGGAUAGAGGCUGAGGAGCUUCCUAUCAACAGUUCAAUACCGUGUGACCUUGGGAGGUCACUAGGAUGGUUGGAACCAUAUAUUUUUCCUCAUAACAAAUAAUUUAGCCAAUUACGAACAUGUUUUAUCAUCAUCGACUCAAGAUUAUCUCUACUCUUUACGUCGCUGACUAUUGAAUAAAUAUUAUCUUUUAUGACCAUGAGAUGUAUCAUUCACCAUUACAUGAGUUUGUUUUACAUUGGUUCCCAAAAAUCUUCUAAAUCGGUCCGAUUUCACGUAUUACAGCCUUUAGAAAACAUUUUUUACAAGUUAGACAUCUAGUUACUCCCCAAUUCCCAUGUUUCGUGAGGGUCCAGAUUUAUAUGUGUAUUAUGUGAGGGUUGGUUCCCUCUGAAGUUUCCCUUAGGAUAGCUGGAGCUCAUUCCAGAGUUCUAUCAGGUAAAGCCAAUGAUUAGAGGCCUCGGGGGCACAACACCCUCGACCUAUUCUCAAACUUUAAAUAGGUAGGACGGCGCGACUGCUUUGUUGAGCCGUGCCACGGAAUCGAGAGCUCCAAGUGGGCCAUUUUUGGUAAGCAGACCUGGCGAUGCGGGAUGAACCGAAAGUCGGGUUACGGUGCCCAACUACGAGCUAUCCUAGAUCCCACAAAGGGUGUUGGUCGAUUAAAACAACAGGACGAUGGUCAUGGAAGUGUAAAUCCGCUAAGAAGUGUGUAACAACUCACCUGCCGAAUCAACUAGCCCCGAAAAUCGAUGGCGCUGAAGCGCGUGACCUAUACCCGACCGUCGAGGCAAGUGUUAGGCCGCGAUGAGUAGGAGAUCGCAGCGGUCGCUGCAAAACCUGUGGCGUGAGCCAGGGCGAAGUGGCCAUUGGUGCAGAUCUUGGUGGUGGUAGCAAAUAUUCAAAUGAGAACUUUGAAGGCCGAAGAGGGGAAAGGUUCCAUGUGAAGGCACUUGCACAUGGGUUAUUCGAUCGUAAGAGAUGAAGGAAGCCUGUCCGAUAACGCGUUUAGCGAGAGCUUUGAAAGGGAAUCAGAUUAAAAUUUCUGAACUGGGACGUGGCAGUUGACGAUAACGUUAGGAAGUCCGGAGACGUCGGCGGGGGCCUUGCGAAGAGUUAUCUUUUCUGUUUAACAACUUGCCCACCCUGGAAUCGGCUCAGCCGGAGGUAGGGUCCAGCGGAUGGAAAAGCACCGCACGUUUUAUGGUGUCCGGUGCGCCCCCGGCUGCCCUUGAAAAUCCAGAGGACCGAGUGCCGACCAUGUGCGAUCGUACUCAUAACCGCAUCAGGUCUCCAAGGUGAACAACCUCUGCUCGAUGGCACAAUGUAGGCAAGGGAAGUCGGCAAAAUGGAUCUGUUACUUCGUGAAAAGGAUUGACUCUGAGGGCUGGGCACGGGGUCCCAGUCCCGAACCCGUCGGCAGUCGGCGGAUUGCUCGAGCUGCUUCCGUGGCGAGAGCGGGUUGCCACGUGCUGGCCGGGGGACGGACUGGGAACGUUCCCUUCAGGGGCCUUCCUCGGGCGUCGAACAGUCAACUCAGAACUGGUAUGCACAAGGGGAGUCCGACUGUUUAAUGAAAACAAAGCAUUGCGAUGGUGCGAAUGUUAACGCAAUGUGAUUUCUGCCUAGUGCUCUGAAUGUCAAAGUGAAGAAAUUCAACCAAGCGCGGGUAAACAGCGGGAGUCACUAUGACUCUCUUAAGGUAGCCAAUUGCCUCGUCAUCUAAUUAGUGAUGCGCAUGAAUGGAUUAACGAGAUUCCCACUGUCCCUGUUUACUAUCUAGCGAAACCACAUCCAAGGGAACGAGCUUUGCAGAAUCAGCGGGUUAAGAAGACCCUGUUGAGCUUGACUCUAGUCCGACUUUGUGAAAUGACUUGAGAGGUGUAGGAAAAGUGGGAGCUUCGGCACAAGUGAAAUACUACUACUUUUAACGUUAUUUUACUUACUCCGUGAGUCGGAAGAGGGGCAAUGCCCCUCCUUUUAGACCUAAGGUCCGCUUGCAGGCUGAUCCGGGCGGAGGACAUUGUCAGGUUAGGAGUUUGAAUGGGGCGACACAUCUGUUAAAAGAUAACGCAGGUGCCCUAAGAUGAGAUUAACGAGAACAAAAAUCUCGUGUGGAACAGAAGGGUAAAAGCUCGUUUGAUUCUGAUUUUCAGUACGAAUACGAACCUUGAAAGCGUGGCCUAACGAUCCUUUAGACCUAUUGAAUUUAAAGCUAGAGGUGUCAGAAAAGUUACCUCAAGGAUAACUUGCUUAUGGCAGCCAAGCGUUCAUAGCGACGUUGCUUUUUAAUCCUUUGAUGUCGGCUAUUCCUAUCAUUGUGAAGCAGAAUUCACCAAGUGUUGGAUUGUUCACCCACCAAUAGGGAACGUGAGCUGGGUUUAGACCGUCAUGAGACAGGUUAGUUUUACCAAACUGAUGACAGUGUCGCAGUGGUAAUUCAAUUUUGUACGAGAGGAAUCGUUGAUUCACACAAUUGGUCAUCGCGCUUUAUUGAAAAGCUAGUGGCGCGAAGCUACCGUGUGCUGGAUUAUGAUUGAAUGCCUCCAAGUCAGAAUCCGGGCAAGAAGCGACGCAUGCGCCCGCCGCCCGAUUGCCUACAGUAGGGGCUUCGGCACCCAAGGGCACGUGUCGUAGGCUAAGCUCGCACGGUGGAUGCGCCGUGAGAGUAGCCUUGAAGUACAAUUUCUACCGAGCGGGGGGUUGAAUCCUUUGUAGACGAAUUAAAUACGUGAUGAGGUAUUGUAAUUGGCAGAGUGACCUUGCUACCAUGAUUCACUAAGAUUCAACCCUAUGU